GGCUAGCAUGAUUCUCGAGCGCAAGUAGUUGCAUUUCCAAAUCAAAAUCUCUGGCAUUAAAAGCCGUCUUCAAGCGGCUACCCGGUAGCUGCAACGUAGGUGGGGUGAGGUUAACUUGCUUGUGCCACAAGCCCCCAGACUUUGGAGAGGAAGCAACAGCCAAAGGAGACAUGGGCGGCGUUGAAGUGGUAGGCAAUGGCAAGGCAGAUGAACCAAGUGCUAGAGGGCUCAAAUUAGCCAUAUCCGCUGCAUUGAUAACAGCAGACCUCGGUGAAGGCAUAGCUGAUCCAGU
Molecule: long non-coding RNA, 292 nt
Filed under: Gossypium barbadense (sea-island cotton)
Lineage: Eukaryota; Viridiplantae; Streptophyta; Magnoliopsida; Malvales; Malvaceae
Description: long non-coding RNA (GBAR_LNC022128)
Source: RNAcentral